GAUGAACGCUGGCGGCGUGCCUAAUACAUGCAAGUCGAGCGAACGGACGAGAAGCUUGCUUCUCUGAUGUUAGCGGCGGACGGGUGAGUAACACGUGGAUAACCUACCUAUAAGACUGGGAUAACUUCGGGAAACCGGAGCUAAUACCGGAUAAUAUUUUGAACCGCAUGGUUCAAAAGUGGAAGACGGUCUUGCUGUCACUUAAAGAUGGAUCCGCGCUGCAUUAGCUAGUUGGUAAGGUAACGGCUUACCAAGGCAACGAUGCAUAGCCGACCUGAGAGGGUGAUCGGCCACACUGGAACUGAGACACGGUCCAGACUCCUACGGGAGGCAGCAGUAGGGAAUCUUCCGCAAUGGGCGAAAGCCUGACGGAGCAACGCCGCGUGAGUGAUGAAGGUCUUCGGAUCGUAAAACUCUGUUAUUAGGGAAGAACAUAUGUGUAAGUAACUGUGCACAUCUUGACGGUACCUAAUCAGAAAGCCACGGCUAACUACGUG
Molecule: ribosomal RNA, 497 nt
Filed under: uncultured bacterium
Lineage: Bacteria
Description: partial 16S ribosomal RNA
Rfam family: Bacterial small subunit ribosomal RNA
Source: RNAcentral